UGACCAGCAAUUCCUAUGCCUACCUCCUCGUGGUGCCGGCCGGAAACUACGAGCAACCUUAGGGAAGAUCGGAUAACCAACCCCGGUGGGAACUUUGGUCGUAGGCUGACAGAGAAGG
Non-coding RNA from Aedes albopictus (Asian tiger mosquito), 118 nucleotides. Lineage: Eukaryota; Metazoa; Arthropoda; Insecta; Diptera; Culicidae. The record is from Rfam.